AUUGAACGCUGGCGGCAGGCCUAACACAUGCAAGUCGGGCGAGAGGCGGACGGGUGAGUAAUGUAUGGGGAUCUGCCUGAUGGCGGGGGAUAACUACUGGAAACGGUCGCUAAUACCGCAUACCAUCAGAUGAACCCAUAUGGGAUUAGCUAGUAGGUAAGGUAACGGCUUACCUAGGCGACGAUCCCUAGCUGGUCUGAGAGGAUGAUCAGCCACAUUGGGACUGAGACACGGCCCAGACUCCUACGGUAGGCAGCAGUGGGGAAUAUUGCACAAUGGGCGCAAGCCUGAGGCAGCCAUGCCGCGUGUAUGAAGAAGGCCUUCGGGUUGUAAAGUACUUUCAGUCGGGAGGAGUGACCGACAGAAGAAGCACCGGCUAACUCCGGGCCAGCCGCGGCGGUAAUUC
Molecule: ribosomal RNA, 406 nt
Filed under: uncultured bacterium
Lineage: Bacteria
Description: partial 16S ribosomal RNA
Rfam family: Bacterial small subunit ribosomal RNA
Source: RNAcentral